CCUACGGGAGGCAGCAGUGAGGAAUAUUGGUCAAUGGACGAGAGUCUGAACCAGCCAAGUAGCGUGAAGGAUGACUGCCCUAUGGGUUGUAAACUUCUUUUAUAUGGGAAUAAAAUAGGGUAUGCAUACCCUCUUGUAUGUACCAUAUGAAUAAGGAUCGGCUAACUCCGUGCCAGCAGCCGCGGUAAUACGGAGGAUCCGAGCGUUAUCCGGAUUUAUUGGGUUUAAAGGGAGCGUAGGUGGAUUGUUAAGUCAGUUGUGAAAGUUUGCGGUUCAACCGUGAAAUUGCAGUUGGAACUGGCAGUCUUGAGUACGGUAGAGGUGGGCGGAAUUCGUGGUGUAGCGGUGAAAUGCUUAGAUAUCACGAAGAACUCCGAUUGCGAAGGCAGCGUACCGGCGCCAGACUGACGCUGAGGCACGAAGGCGUGGGGAUCGAACAGGAUUAGAUACCCUAGUAGUC
This 460-nucleotide ribosomal RNA is filed under the name uncultured bacterium. RNAcentral's name for it is "partial 16S ribosomal RNA". It matches the Rfam family "Bacterial small subunit ribosomal RNA", at positions 338 to 795 of the family's 1533-position model. The record is from RNAcentral.